RNAcentral lists this long non-coding RNA (1610 nucleotides) under Onthophagus taurus. Its description in RNAcentral is "uncharacterized LOC111427879". Lineage: Eukaryota; Metazoa; Arthropoda; Insecta; Coleoptera; Scarabaeidae. The record is from RNAcentral.
CGUCGUCGCUAUCGGUCCAGCUGCAGAAUAGAAAGUCGCCGGUAACCUUGGUACGCAAAUAAUCGAGUCACGUGACCGGAUUGCUCAGGAAGCACGAUGAACACGCGAGAGCUGCGUUGCGAGGAGCAAGAGGGUACCAAGCGAAAAUGGAAGAUGAGCGCGCGCACGGAAGAAGUUGGGUCUCACUCCGACGACGACAUUCGGAUUCGGUUUUGUGCUGUUUUAGAACUUCGCGCGUAGGCCAUUAACGUUGGGUACAAUUGAAGAUAAUUAUUCUUGGUAAUAACUGGUUUGUGACGAGCCAACUGUAACUUGAAGCUAGCACAAAAAUUUUUACAUCAUGUUGGAAUUAGAGAUGAAAGAGAAGAAUAUUCUCGAAAAUAUCUUGCAGUGGCUCCUUCUGUCGGUCCUGACAAAAUUCGGACGGUUCGGGAAUCCCACAGACUUGAAUGAACGUGUUUCGGUUUGUGCGUUGAUUAUUGUGUGAAAUAUAUCAUGGCAGAUGCGGGAAUAAUGGACGGUAAAAACAAAGUUGUAACAAAACCGAAGAGUAAUGUGUGGAACUAUUUUAAUAUGAUGAAAGUUUAUGGAAAAAUAAUGUACAUUUGUAAAUUUUGCCCUUUUAAAUAUAUAAAAAAUGUCACAAAAAUAACGAAACAUUUAUUAAGAUGUUUAAAAUGCCCAAUAGGCGUGAAACAAAUGUUUGACAAAGAGCAAAAGGAGAUUUCUUCUACUUUCUUUUCAAUUACUGCUCCUACUUCUUCAAUUGCAACCAGUCGUUGCAAUUGAUGUAGUGAUUUAGCUUUAUAUGCAUGUUUUAGUGGUGAGCACCAAACUAUGGUUCCGUGAGCUACCAUGGGUCUUAUCACAGAAGUGUAAAUCCACAUUGUAACUUUCGGAUUUAGUCCCCAAGUAUUCCCAAUAGCCCUUUGGCACUGGGUCAGUACAAUCGUUGCUUUUUUGGUUUUGCAACUAAUGUGUGAUGCCCAAGUUAGUCCUUUGUCCAAGAUAUACACUUCUGGAGCAAAGGAUUAACAGAGAGGGUAGUUCUUCACACCAUCGUUCAACAAGUUUAAGCGCCUGCUGCAUUCUGUAACAAAGAAAAUUGUCAGGUUAACCAACUGUGAAGCGAUAUUUAUUGUUUAACUCACGAAUGAGAUCAUCAAUUAUUAAGCACCAAAGAAACUGUAAGGGAAGUAAAAAAACUCUUUAGUCAAGAGGCAAUAAAUCCAAUCCAUCUUGCUGCAAAUAUUCUAGAUCCAAAUUUUAAUGGAAUUCAUCUUAAUAGAGAAGAUCAAAUACAAGGAACAGAGUUUAUAGACAAUAUAGCUACUGUAACAAGCCCAGGUGAGUCUGUUGAAAAACUGCAUCCCAUUGUAUGGUGAAGGGGACUUGUGUUGGGUCGACAUUAAGUAAAGUAGCGGUCAAGAUACCUACAGCUUCUCAAAAUAUAUCAGAAUAUUCUCAAAAUUGAGAAUAUUCUCCUAUUUUUUUUUUCUCGAGAAUUUUCCAUCUCUAGUUGGAAUAUCGUUGAAAUUAGUUGGAACAGUCUCUGAGUGAUUAUUAUUAUCUGUAUUAUUUUGAUGACUAAUAAAAAAAUAAUAUGUAAA